Molecule: ribosomal RNA, 723 nt
Filed under: uncultured prokaryote
Description: bacterial SSU rRNA
Rfam family: Bacterial small subunit ribosomal RNA
Source: RNAcentral
CCGAUGCUCAGGUGCAAGAGUGUGGGGAAAAAACGGUAUUAUACCCCGUGGUAGUACACGCAGAAAGAAGAUGUAGACUGGGAUGUUGUUCCUUUGAGGAGUGGCUUCGGGAGAUAACGUGUUAUGUCGACCGCCGGGAGAGUACGGCCGCAAGGUUAAAACUCAAAUGAAUUGACGGGGGCCCGCACAAGGGGUGGAGCAUGUGGUUUAAUUCGAUGCAACGCGAAGAACCUUACCUACUCUUGACAUCCAGAGAAUUUGGCAGAGAUGCCUUAGUGCCUUCGGGAACUGUGAGACAGGUGCUGCAUGGCUGUCGUCAGCUCGUGUUGUGAAAUGUUGGGUUAAGUCCCGCAACGAGCGCAACCCUUAUCCUUUGUUGCCAGCGAUUCGGUCGGGAACUCAAAGGAGACUGCCGGUGAUAAACCGGAGGAAGGUGGGGAUGACGUCAAGUCAUCAUGGCCCUUACGAGUAGGGCUACACACGUGCUACAAUGGCGCAUACAAAGAGAAGCGACCUCGCGAGAGCAAGCGGACCUCAUAAAGUGCGUCGUAGUCCGGAUCGGAGUCUGCAACUCGACUCCGUGAAGUCGGAAUCGCUAGUAAUCGUGGAUCAGAAUGCCACGGUGAAUACGUUCCCGGGCCUUGUACACACCGCAAAGUCACACCAUGGGAGUGGGUUGCAAAAGAAGUAGGUAGCUUAACCUCCGGGAGGGCGCUACUACAU